GACGAUCGCUGGCGGCGUGCUUAACACAUGCAAGUCGAACGGAAAGGCCCCUUUGGGGGUACUCGAGUGGCGAACGGGUGAGUAACACGUGAGUAACCUGCCCUUGACUUCGGGAUAACUUCAGGAAACUGGGGCUAAUACCGGAUAGGAAUCCUUGCUGCAUGGUGGGGGUUGGAAAGCUUCGGCGGUUUUGGAUGGACUCGCGGCUUAUCAGCUUGUUGGUGGGGUAGUGGCUUACCAAGGCUUUGACGGGUAGCCGGCCUGAGAGGGCGACCGGCCACAUUGGGACUGAGAUACGGCCCAGACUCCUACGGGAGGCAGCAGUGGGGAAUAUUGCACAAUGGGCGGAAGCCUGAUGCAGCAACGCCGCGUGCGGGAUGACGGCCUUCGGGUUGUAAACCGCUUUCAGCAGGGGCGAAGCUUGUGGUGACGGUACCUGCAGAAGAAGCACCGGCUAACUACGUG
This 465-nucleotide ribosomal RNA is filed under the name uncultured bacterium. RNAcentral's name for it is "partial 16S ribosomal RNA". It matches the Rfam family "Bacterial small subunit ribosomal RNA", at positions 28 to 507 of the family's 1533-position model. The record is from RNAcentral.